This 53-nucleotide non-coding RNA is filed under the name Planctomycetales bacterium. Its description in RNAcentral is "Guanidine-II sequence". It matches the Rfam family "Guanidine-II riboswitch aptamer (mini-ykkC)". From Rfam's summary of the family: Simpler in structure and has fewer highly conserved nucleotide positions than the ykkC-yxkD leader. Despite this each of its two stem-loop structures directly bind free guanidine. The record is from RNAcentral. Lineage: Bacteria; Pseudomonadati; Planctomycetota; Planctomycetia; Planctomycetales.
CGGCGGGGACGACCUCGUGGAGCCGCUCGCGGAGCUUGACGAGGACGGCCUCG